RNAcentral lists this ribosomal RNA (512 nucleotides) under Streptomyces parvus. Its description in RNAcentral is "partial 23S ribosomal RNA". It matches the Rfam family "Bacterial large subunit ribosomal RNA", at positions 2421 to 2925 of the family's 2925-position model. Lineage: Bacteria; Bacillati; Actinomycetota; Actinomycetes; Kitasatosporales; Streptomycetaceae. The record is from RNAcentral.
CGGCAGUGGCUUGUGGAAGCGCUGUCGCUCAACGGAUAAAAGGUACCCCGGGGAUAACAGGCUGAUCUUCCCCAAGAGUCCAUAUCGACGGGAUGGUUUGGCACCUCGAUGUCGGCUCGUCGCAUCCUGGGGCUGGAGUCGGUCCCAAGGGUUGGGCUGUUCGCCCAUUAAAGCGGUACGCGAGCUGGGUUUAGAACGUCGUGAGACAGUUCGGUCCCUAUCCGCUGUGCGCGUAGGAAUAUUGAGAAGGGCUGUCCCUAGUACGAGAGGACCGGGACGGACGAACCUCUGGUGUGCCAGUUGUCCUGCCAAGGGCAUGGCUGGUUGGCUACGUUCGGAAAGGAUAACCGCUGAAAGCAUCUAAGCGGGAAGCCUGCUUCGAGAUGAGUAUUCCCACCCCCUUUGAGGGGUUAAGGCUCCCAGUAGACGACUGGGUUGAUAGGCCAGAUGUGGAAGCCCGGUAACGGGUGGAGCUGACUGGUACUAAUAGGCCGAGGGCUUGUCCUCAGUUG